AUUGAACGCUGGCGGCAUGCCUUACACAUGCAAGUCGAACGGCAGCACGGGGGCAACCCUGGUGGCGAGUGGCGAACGGGUGAGUAAUGCAUCGGAACGUGCCCAGUAGUGGGGGAUAACUAGUCGAAAGAUUAGCUAAUACCGCAUACGACCUAUGGGUGAAAGCGGGGGAUUCGCAAGAACCUCGCGCUAUCGGAGCGGCCGAUGUCUGAUUAGCUAGUUGGCGGGGUAAAAGCCCACCAAGGCUUCGAUCAGUAGCUGGUCUGAGAGGACGACCAGCCACACUGGGACUGAGACACGGGCCCAGACUCCUACGGGAGGCAGCAGUGGGGAAUUUUGGACAAUGGGCGCAAGCCUGAUCCAGCCAUGCCGCGUGCGGGAAGAAGGCC
Molecule: ribosomal RNA, 389 nt
Filed under: uncultured bacterium
Lineage: Bacteria
Description: bacterial SSU rRNA
Rfam family: Bacterial small subunit ribosomal RNA
Source: RNAcentral